Non-coding RNA from Picea glauca (white spruce), 121 nucleotides. NCBI's taxonomy places the organism in Eukaryota, Viridiplantae, Streptophyta, Pinopsida, Pinales, Pinaceae. The record is from Rfam.
ACAUGCCUACAACAUAGUGUUAAUGCAUCGGAUCCCAUUAUAACUCUGCAGUUAAGCGCGCUCAAGCUACAGUAGCACUGGGAUGGGUGAUCGCCCAGGAAAUCCUAGUGUUUUACAUGCC